CAGAAGAGGAGCAUCCAGGUUUUUUUCUCUUUCAGUCUUUCUGUCUCUUUGAUUCCAGUCUGAGCCGAGCCAAGCCGGACCGAGCCUAGCUCUGAAAGGUCCUGAACGCAUCAGCGCGCGCAUUGAGGCGAUGGGGCCGUGAGCUGAGCCGAGCCGAGACGAAGUGAGCCGAGCAGCCGAGUAAGGCGAUGCUGCAGAGUGGACCCGGUGAAGAAGACUCCUAUCGUGCACACGCCUCACACGCACUUUUCUCUGCUUUGGACCGCGCGUGCACGCCCAGCAUGGAGCCCAACUCGUGCGCGGGAGGCUGCCGACGCACGCGUGACGCGUGCGUUCCUGUGCUGCUGCUGCUGCUGCUGCACCUGAUCUCCGUGCACGGAGGUGUCAUGGCGACCAACUCCACCCAGCUAGACGCCACCGCCAACGGGACCGCCCCACUUAGCGAGCAGGAGAGGCUCGCUGAUGUGGUCACUGUGGCAACCAGACCAAGUGGCUCAGUCAGGCCCGACGUCAUCAACACUGUGACCCCAAGGGCGGGCCGUGUGCCCCGUGCUGGAAGGGAGGAGGAAGUGGGCAGCGGCUUGUUUGGUGAACCUGUAGUUCCGGGCGUGGAGGAAGUGGGCGUGGCCUCGCCAUCUCAAAUCAGCCCGGAUUCAGCCGAGACGGAGCUACUGUUGCCUAGCAAUCCUGGCAAACAUGACGUGAGAGAAGAAGAGGGGCUUGUGGUGCACAACGACCCACCAUGGAUUCACGACAAGGACAUUGCUGUAUUUGACCUUGACCCAUCCUUCACCAGCACCCACGCCGCCCCGCCCCCACCCGUCACCCACCCCGCCAACCCCGACGUUCUCCAUGUGGACUUCUUUGACCCGUCCUCCCGUGGGCGUAACCUGGAUUUGACUCGGCCUUCCACCUCAUCCCCGGCACAUGAGCUUCAGGGCGGUGACCCAACUUCCUGGGCCAUGCCUGACAACUACGACUACCUCACGCCGUACGAGGAUGGCGUGUCGCCCACAGCUGACGAGUACGCCGACACCACCACCGACGCCUAUGAGAGCGACGGGUCUCCAGCUCGUUCCAGGCCGCGGGGUCCUGGCGUCCUCGUGCCAAACUUCCCCGCCGGGGUGCCUCCAGCCGCUGCCCCGGUGGACGGCUCUGAUGGGAUGGGCGGAUGUCGCGUGGGCUACCAGAUGGUCAACGCCUCCUGCCGCUCGCCCUGCGAAUUUGUGCCCAACUACUGCUACAAUGGAGGACAGUGUUACCUGCUGGAGGGCGCUGGAACCUUCUGCAGGUGUAACGUGCAAGACUACAUUUGGCACAAGGGUGCUCGCUGCGAGGCGGUGGUGACGGAGUUCCAGGUGAUGUGCUUGGCGGUGGGUGCGUCGGCCGUGGUGGUGUUGCUGCUCUUCAUGAUGGUGGUCUGCUUCGCCAAGAAGCUGCAUGUGCUCAAGACAGAGAACAAGAAGCUGCGCAGACGCAGUAAGUACCGGCCCACGUCGGAGCAGCACAAUGAUAAUUUCUCGCUGUCCACCAUCGCUGAGGGCUCCCACCCAAAUUAACUCCCCCUUACUUCCCCUAAUGCAUGGGCAUGAGUAUCUGAGUAUCGAUACUCUGAGGCGAGCGUGAGAGGGGGGAGGAGGUGAGGGGGGUGUUUGAAGAGCGAUGGAGGAUGGUGGUCGUAUCAGACAGAAAAGUCUUCUAUGUAGAUAUAGAUCUAUGCAAAAGACUUUCAUGUCUCUUGUGGACUAAAUCAUCCUAUCACAGUGAGGCUUUUGCAGCCUGUUGCCAUGACGAUCCCCUCUCCCCCGCGUGGCUUUAACUGCCACCAUCCUUCACUCCUUGCCGCCGCCAUCUUUCUCUGACCUCGCCUCUUGCAUCGGUAAGUCCUGGCAUGACGCGCGCCCCCCCACCCCAAACCCGGUGGCCAUGCCAGUCGCUGCAGCUCUGCUUUGCUGUCUUCUAACAAACUGUCUUGUUUAUCCUGAAAGUGGGCGGGACAGGGGGUGGGGUCAUACACUCUGGGUGGGAGGUCACACUGAAGGUUAUAUGGGGGAUAUCAGGAUAAACAUCUGAGAUGCAAGACCUGGACUAACUGUAGCAUGGAUAGUUAGUAGCCUAGCUAGUUAGCCUAGCAUGGCGGGAUGGUGUAGAAAUAACAUGCCAUGCUGACGUGUUCUACAUGAGCGUGUUAUUUUUUUUACGCCAUUCAGCAGCAUGGUUGCACUUUGCGCUACAGCCGAGGUUGAAUGUGUUUUGUUUCUGCAUUCUGGUAGGAGUGGUACCUCCCUCUAACUGAAGAAAGAACAUUUUCAGAACUAUCUCACACAAAAAGACCAAAAAGAAACAUCUUCAUCACGUCUCCCCCAAAACAUCUCAAGAAGGUCACAGCCAACAGUCCCUAACAAAGAAACGUCCUACUGCACACUACAACACUAAAAAGACAAUUUAUUUUAUUUUAUUUCUAACCUUUUGUUGGCUUCUCGGUACUACUCAAUAGGAGCAUAGGAGGCGUGCUGUGAGAAAGAAGCUAACAACGCUAACUACCCUACCAAUUAAUUCUAAUUAACUAACUAAUUCUGUUAUAAUUAUUAUAAUGUGAUUAUUUUAGCCAUGGCUGAACACAUCAGUCUCAUUUAAAAAAUGUAAAACCAAUGAGAAGAAGUGUAGAGUUCUCGUUACUUCCUCUCUUCCUGUCUGCCUCGUCUUUCUCGCUGUAAGCUCCGCCUCUCUGUCUCUCUCCGCCCUCCCUCUGUCGCUAUGACGAUGCUUGUCUGCUUUGAGGAGUAUAACCUUUGACCACCCCCUCCCCUCAGAAAACCAUGAGCAGAUACACGUGGGAGUGUAAGACCAAAGAGGAGUCCGACUGUGAGUUUCACGCUGACGGGAGGACAGAGGGCCCAUACCCCGUAACCAUGGAAGUCACGUACCCGCACGUCCUGCCGGAAGUUAC
This is a non-coding RNA of Doryrhamphus excisus (bluestripe pipefish), 2950 nucleotides long. Lineage: Eukaryota; Metazoa; Chordata; Actinopteri; Syngnathiformes; Syngnathidae. The record is from RefSeq and is a predicted model, not a curated record.